RNAcentral lists this ribosomal RNA (374 nucleotides) under uncultured bacterium. RNAcentral describes it as "bacterial SSU rRNA". It matches the Rfam family "Bacterial small subunit ribosomal RNA", at positions 521 to 896 of the family's 1533-position model. The record is from RNAcentral.
UAAUACGGAGGGUGCAAGCGUUAUCCGGAUUUACUGGGUUUAAAGGGUGUGUAGGCGGACUUUUAAGUCCGUGGUGAAAUCUCCGGGCUCAACCCGGAAACUGCCAUGGAUACUAUAGGUCUUGAAUAUUGUUGAGGUGGGCGGAACGGGUCAUGUAGCGGUGAAAUGCAUAGAUAUGACCCGGAACACCGAUUGCGAAGGCAGCCCACUAAGCAAUGAUUGACGCUGAGGCACGAAAGCGUGGGGAUCAAACAGGAUUAGAUACCCUGGUAGUCCACGCCCUAAACGAUGAUUACUCGACGUUGGCGAUACACCGAUCAGCGUCCAAGCGAAAGCAUUAAGUAAUCCACCUGGGAAGUACGUUCGCAAGAAUG